ACUCCUACGGGAGGCAGCAGUAGGGAAUAUUGGACAAUGGGCGAAAGCCUGAUCCAGCAAUGCCGCGUGAGUGAUGAAGGUUUAUGGAUCGUAAAGCUCUGUCGUAUAGGAAUAAAUGCCUGUGGUUAAUACCCGCAGGAGCUGAAGGUACUAUACAAGAAAGCACCGGCUAACUACGUGCCAGCAGCCGCGGUAAUACGUAGGGUGCGAGCGUUAAUCGGAAUUACUGGGCGUAAAGCGCGUGUAGGUGGCUUGUUAAGCCAGAUGUGAAAGCCCCGGGCUCAAGCCUGGGAACUGGCAUUUGGAACUGGCAGGUCUAGAGUUUUGUAGAGGGUUGGUAGAAUUUCGAGGUG
This 353-nucleotide ribosomal RNA is filed under the name uncultured bacterium. RNAcentral describes it as "bacterial SSU rRNA". It matches the Rfam family "Bacterial small subunit ribosomal RNA", at positions 335 to 675 of the family's 1533-position model. The record is from RNAcentral.